GCAUAUCAAUAAGCGGAGGAAAAGAAACCAACAGGGAUUGCCCUAGUAACGGCGAGUGAAGCGGCAACAGCUCAAAUUUGAAAUCUGGCUUUCGGGCCCGAGUUGUAAUUUGUAGAGGAUGAUUUUGAUGCGGUGCCUUCCGAGUUCCCUGGAACGGGACGCCAUAGAGGGUGAGAGCCCCGUCUGGUUGGAUGCCAAAUCUCUGUAAAUCUCCUUCGACGAGUCGAGUAGUUUGGGAAUGCUGCUCUAAAUGGGAGGUAUAUGUCUUCUAAAGCUAAAUACCGGCCAGAGACCGAUAGCGCACAAGUAGAGUGAUCGAAAGAUGAAAAGCACUUUGAAAAGAGAGUUAAAAAGUACGUGAAAUUGUUGAAAGGGAAGCGUUUAUGACCAGACUUGGGCUUGGUUAAUCAUCUGGGGUUCUCUCCAGUGCACUUUUCCAGUCCAGGCCAGCAUCAGUUUUCGCCGGGGGAUAAAGGCUUCGGGAAUGUGGCUCCCCUCGGGGAGUGUUAUAGCCCGUUGUGUAAUACCCUGGUGGGGACUGAGGUUCGCGCUUCUGCAAGGAUGCUGGCGUAAUGGUCAUCAACGACCCGUCUUGAAACACGGACCAAGGAGUCGUCUUCGUAUGCGAGUGUUCGGGUGUCAAACCCCUACGCGUAAUGAAAGUGAACGCAGGUGAGAGCUUCGGCGCAUCAUCGACCGAUCCUGAUGUUCUCGGAUGGAUUUGAGUAAGAGCAUACGGGGCCGGACCCGAAAGAAGGUGAACUAUGCCUGUGUAGGGUGAAGCCAGAGGAAACUCUGGUGGAGGCUCGCAGCGGUUCUGACGUGCAAAUCGAUCGUCAAACAUGGGCAUGGGGGGCGAAAGACUAAUCGAACCUUCUAGUAGCUGGUUUCC
This 892-nucleotide ribosomal RNA is filed under the name Fusarium nepalense. RNAcentral's name for it is "LSU rRNA". It matches the Rfam family "Eukaryotic large subunit ribosomal RNA", at positions 38 to 959 of the family's 3401-position model. The record is from RNAcentral. Lineage: Eukaryota; Fungi; Ascomycota; Sordariomycetes; Hypocreales; Nectriaceae.